CCAAUAGACUAGUCGAACAAUCUGGAAAGAUUGGCCAGAGACGGUGAUAGCCCGGUACACGAAAGUUUAUUGGCUCGCUGGGUAGGUUCCUGAGUAUCGCGGGACACGGGAAAUCCCGCGAGAAACUACGAGGACCAUCUCGUAAGGCUAAAUACUCCCUGGCGACCGAUAGUGAACCAGUACCGUGAGGGAAAGGUGAAAAGAACCCCUGUUAGGGGAGUGAAAUAGAACCUGAAACCGUGUGCGUACAAGCAGUGGGAGCACAGGCUUUAAGCCGGUGUGACUGCGUACCUUUUGUAUAAUGGGUCAGCGACUUACAUCUCAGUGGCAAGCUUAACCAUUUAGGGGAGGCGUAGCGAAAGCGAGUCUUAAUAGGGCGUCUUAGUCGCUGGGAGUAGACCCGAAACCGGACGAUCUAGCCAUGGCCAGGUUGAAGGUCGGGUAAUACCGACUGGAGGACCGAACCAACUGACGUUGAAAAGUCAGUGGAUGAGCUGUGGCUAGGAGUGAAAGGCUAAUCAAGUCCGGAGAUAGCUGGUUCUCCCCGAAAACUAUUUAGGUAGUGCCUCGUGUCUCACUUCUGGGGGUAGAGCACUGUUAUGGCUAGGGCCACGUCUAGUGGUACCAAACCAUUGCAAACUCCGAAUACCAGAAAGUGCAAUCACGGGAGACAGACGGCGGGAGAUAAGUUUCGUCGUCGAAAGGGAAACAGCCCAGACCGCCAGCUAAGGUCCCAAAAUCACAGCUCAGUGGAAAACGAUGUGGGAAGGCCCAGACAGCCAGGAGGUUGGCUUAGAAGCAGCCACCCUUUAAAGAAAGCGUAAUAGCUCACUAGUCGAGUCGGCCUGCGCGGAAGAUAUAACGGGGCUAAAUGUGUAACCGAAGCUGCGGAUGCGUGCUUGCACGCAUGGUAGAGGAGCGUUCUGUAAGCCUGCGAAGGUGAAUCGAGAGGUUUGCUGGAGGUAUCAGAAGUGCGAAUGCUGACAUGAGUAACGACAAGGGGAGUGAAAAACUCCCCCGCCGGAAGACCAAGGUUUCCUGUCCCAUGUUAAUCAGGACAGGGUUAGUCGGCCCCUAAGGCGAGGCAGAAAUGCGUAGUCGAUGGAAAACGGGUUAAUAUUCCCGUACUUGUUAUAACUGCGAUGGAGGGACGGAGUAGGCUAGGCGAUCGCGGCGAUGGUUGUCCGCGUUUAAGCUCGUAGGCUGGGGGAUUAGGCAAAUCCGGUUCCCUAAGGCUGAGAAGCGAAUACGAGUCCUCUUUUGGACGAAGUCGUUGAUGCCAUGCUUCCAAGAAAAGCUUCUAAGCUUCAGGUUAUAACAAACCGUACCCCAAACCGACACAGGUGGUCAGGUAGAGAAUACCAAGGCGCUUGAGAGAACUCGGGUGAAGGAACUAGGCAAAAUGGUACCGUAACUUCGGGAGAAGGUACGCUCCUCAUGGUGAUUGGACUUGCUCCAUGAGCUGAGGGGAGUCGAAGUGACCAGGUGGCUGCAACUGUUUAUCAAAAACAUAGCACUCUGCAAACUCGUAAGAGGACGUAUAGGGUGUGACGCCUGCCCGGUGCCGGAAGGUUAAUUGAUGGGGUUACCUGACCUCUUAAUUGCUUUGAGCUGCAAGGCAAAGACAUAAGCGAGCAAAGGAGUUUACAUACCAGUAAAUGACUGCGCGAGGGUUGUCUUUAACGCCGCAGAUCAGAGUAAUUAAGUGGUCAGGGAAGCUCUUGAUCGAAGCCCCGGUAAACGGCGGCCGUAACUAUAACGGUCCUAAGGUAGCGAAAUUCCUUGUCGGGUAAGUUCCGACCUGCACGAAUGGCGUAAUGAUGGCCACGCUGUCUCCACCCGAGACUCAGUGAAAUUGAAUUUGCGGUUAAGAUGCCGUAUACCCGCGGCUAGACGGAAAGACCCCGUGAACCUUUACUAUAGCUUCACAGUGGACUCUGAUAUUACUUGUGUAGGAUAGCUGGGAGGCUUUGAAACUUAGGCGCUAGCUUAGGUGGAGCCAAUCUUGAAAUACCAGCCUGGUACUGUUGGGGUUCUAACUCUGGACCAUUAUCUGGUUCGAGGACAUUGUGUGGUGGGUAGUUUGACUGGGGCGGUCUCCUCCCAAAGAGUAACGGAGGAGCACGAAGGUGCGCUAAGCAUGGUCGGAAAUCAUGCGGUUAGUGUAAUGGCAUAAGCGCGCUUGACUGCGAGACUGACAAGUCGAGCAGGUACGAAAGUAGGUCAUAGUGAUCCGGUGGUUCUGUAUGGAAGGGCCAUCGCUCAACGGAUAAAAGGUACUCCGGGGAUAACAGGCUGAUACCGCCCAAGAGUUCACAUCGACGGCGGUGUUUGGCACCUCGAUGUCGGCUCAUCACAUCCUGGGGCUGAAGCCGGUCCCAAGGGUAUGGCUGUUCGCCAUUUAAAGUGGUACGCGAGCUGGGUUCAGAACGUCGUGAGACAGUUCGGUCCCUAUCUGCCGUGGGCGUUGGAGAUUUGAGGAAAGCUGCUUCUAGUACGAGAGGACCGAAGUGGACGAACCUCUGGUGUUCGGGUUGUAUCGCCAGAUGCAUUGCCCGGUAGCUACGUUCGGACGGGAUAAGCGCUGAAAGCAUCUAAGCGCGAAGCCUCUUCCAAGAUUAGAUCUCCCUGGGGCCUUGAGCCCCCUAAAGAGCCGUUCAAGACCAGGACGUUGAUAGGCAGGGUGUGUAAGUGCUGCGAGGCAUUGAGCUAACCUGUACUAAUUGCUCGUGAGGCUUGACCAU
Molecule: ribosomal RNA, 2744 nt
Filed under: marine metagenome
Description: bacterial LSU rRNA
Rfam family: Bacterial large subunit ribosomal RNA
Source: RNAcentral